This is a small nuclear RNA of Anneissia japonica, 165 nucleotides long. RefSeq annotates it as U1 spliceosomal RNA. The record is from RefSeq and is a predicted model, not a curated record. The transcript has a single exon. Lineage: Eukaryota; Metazoa; Echinodermata; Crinoidea; Comatulida; Comatulidae.
AUACUUACCUGGCACAGGAGUGACUUUGAUCAAGAAGGAAUGUCCUCUCAAGGUGAGGCCUCGGCAUUGCACUUCGCUGAGGUUGACCCUUGCGAUUCUCCCAAAUGUGGAGAACUCGGGUGUAUAAUUUAUGGUAGCGGGGGACUGCGUUCGCGCUAACCCCCA